UACGAAGGGGGCUAGCGUUGCUCGGAAUCACUGGGCGUAAAGCGUGCGCAGGCGGUUAUGUAAGACAGUUGUGAAAUCCCCGGGCUCAACCUGGGAACUGCAUCUGUGACUGCAUAGCUAGAGUACGGUAGAGGGGGAUGGAAUUCCGCGUGUAGCAGUGAAAUGCGUAGAUAUGCGGAGGAACACCGAUGGCGAAGGCAAUCCCCUGGACCUGUACUGACGCUCAUGCACGAAAGCGUGGGGAGCAAACAGG
This 253-nucleotide ribosomal RNA is filed under the name uncultured bacterium. RNAcentral's name for it is "partial 16S ribosomal RNA". It matches the Rfam family "Bacterial small subunit ribosomal RNA", at positions 524 to 776 of the family's 1533-position model. The record is from RNAcentral.